AAGAACCCUAAGGAAGCCACCAUUGGAGAAAAGCUUGACUAGUAGCUUUGACUUCAUUUUUGGCGCCCUUUCACUCACCUUAGAACUUUGAACUUGGAAUACUUUAGGCUCCUCCCACUCUCCUCUUCAAAACCCUUGAAGGAUCUAGCCUAACUCCUAGUUUUGCUUUGGUAUCUAGAGAUUCAAUUCUCUAGUGAGUUGAAGGUAGCAAGCUGAAAAAUCUGUUUUGCUGACCGAAAAUUUGGGGCGAUUUCAUUUCGGUGGUAAUUGGGAUUUUCAUUCCAAUUGAGGUA
Molecule: long non-coding RNA, 293 nt
Organism: Cornus florida
Lineage: Eukaryota; Viridiplantae; Streptophyta; Magnoliopsida; Cornales; Cornaceae
Exons: 2
Source: RefSeq, a predicted model, not a curated record